This 294-nucleotide small nuclear RNA is filed under the name Propithecus coquereli (Coquerel's sifaka). RNAcentral's name for it is "7SK RNA (ENSPCOG00000011221.1)". It matches the Rfam family "7SK RNA". From Rfam's summary of the family: 7SK was discovered as an abundant small nuclear RNA in the mid-70s but a possible function has only recently been suggested. Two independent studies have found that 7SK RNA binds the CDK9/cyclin T complex (known as elongation factor P-TEFb). Lineage: Eukaryota; Metazoa; Chordata; Mammalia; Primates; Indriidae. The record is from Rfam by way of RNAcentral.
GGAUGUGAGGGCGAUCUGGCUGCGACAUCUGUCACCCCAUUGAUUGUCAGGGUUGAUUCAGCUGAUCUGGUUGGCUAGGUGGGUGUCCCCUUCCUCCCUCACUGCUCCAUGUGUGUCCCUCCCAAAGCUGUGCACUCGGUCGAAGAGGACAGCCUUUCCCUCUAGAGGAGGUCUGGUCUUCAGUCAAGGGUAUACGAGUAGCUACUCUCCCCUGCUAGAAACUCCAAACAAGCUCUCAAGGUGUCACAUAUACGUCAAAAUUCAUCCAGCUAUACACUUAAGACGUGUGUACUU